AAGAUGGGCAACAGGGGCUGGCUCAGGUGGCAAUCUUUAAGCAAAAAAAACAAAAAAACAAAAAACAAAAAACAAAACCCACAAUGGAGUGGAGACCCGGGGGAAAUCAACACUGAAAAAUACAAAUACAAUGGAAGACCAAUAGACAGAGCAGGCACUUUCACCUGGGGAGGAGGAGGUACGCAUGGAUGACCGAUAAGCGCAUGAAAAGAUGUGAGCUGUUCCCUGGAAAAGCAAGUGAGAAAAUUAGAGGGAGACAUUGUGGGGACACAUGGGUGAGACUGCCUUCUUCCAAAUACAGGAACAGGAUCAAACUGCUAGUGAGGUCGCGGAGAAGCCAAGUCAGUCACUCACGCCUCACUGGUGGUGAAGGGAAACGGUAUGGCCUCUGUGAAAAAUGGCGUGGCGGGUUCCAAAACUCACACGCCACGGAAACAACCACCAAAAGUGGCAACCCACAUAAGCCCUUGGUGUAUCUUGCCUCCUAAGAGCGUGUGUAUGUAGCUGGAGCCUUGGGUCGUUAAGGCUUCCACAGUGAUCUGUGGUGGUGGGGGUGGGGGCCUUGGGCCUUGGGGGUCUCCGCAGUUUCUUUGCAGGCCUGAUCAGGCUGAAGUAGGACUUCUGCUCUGGGUGUGCUACUUUGCCCUAGAGCUGAAAGGCACAACGUGCAGGCUUCUUUCCAAAGGGCGAGUUGGGCCCCACAGCAUCUUGCUUCCAGCUCUUUGGGAAGCUAAGAAACAACUCGCUCUGCUCAGUGCUCUUACAGCCUACCGGGAACACCUCUUCCAAAGGCCUGUGAAACGCAGUUUCUUUGCAGGCCUGAUCUGGCUGAAGUAGGACCUCUGCUCUGUGUGUGCUACAUUGCCCUAGAGCUGAAAGGCACAACGUGCAGGCUUCUUUCCAAGGGGCGAGUUGGGCCCCACAGCCUCUUGCUUCCAGCUCUUUGGGAAGCUAAGAAACAAAUUGCUCUUCACAGUGCCCUUAGAGCCUACCGUGAACAUCUCUUCCAAAGGCCUAUGAAACGCAGUUUCUUUGCAGGCCUGAUCUGGCUGAAGUAGGACUUCUGCUCUGGGUGUGCUACUUUGCCCUAGAGCUGAAAGGCACACCGUGCAGGCUUCUUUCCAAAGGGCGAGUUGGGCCCCACAGCAUCUUGCUUCCAGCUCUUUGGGAAGCUAAGAAAGAACACGCUCUGCACAGUGCUCUUACAGCCUAGUGGGAACAUCUCUUCCAAAGGCCAGUGAAACGCAGUUUCUUUGCAGGCCUGAUCUGGCUGAAGUAGGACUUCUGCUCUGGGUGUGCUACAUUGCCCUAGAGCUGAAAGGCACACCAUGCAGGCUUCUUUCCAAAGGGCGAUUUGGGCCCCACAGCAUCUUCCUCCAGCUCUUUGGGAAGCUAAGAAACAACUCGCUCUGCACAGUGCUCUUACAGCCUACCGGGAACAUCUCUUCCAAAGGCCUGUGAAACGAAGUUUCUUUGCAGGCCUGAUCUGGCUGAAGUAGGACUUCUGCUCUGGGAGUGCUACAUUGCCCUAGAGCUGAAAGGAACACCGUGCAGGCUUCUUUCCAAAGGGCGAGUUGUGCCCCACAGCAUCUUGCUUCCAGCUCUUUGGGAAGCUAAGAAACAACUCGCUCUGCUCAGUGCUCUUACAGCCUAGUGGGAACAUCUCUUCCAAAGGCCUGUGAAACGCAGUUUCUUUGCAGGCCUGAUCUGCCUGAAGUAGGACUUCUGCUCUGGGUGUGCUACAUUGCCCUAGAGCUGAAAGGAACAAUGUGCAGGCUUCUUUCCAAAGGGCGAGUUGGGCCCCACAGCAUCUUGCUUCCAGCUCUUUGGGAAGCUAAGAAACAACUCGCUCUGCUCAGUGCUCUUACAGCCUAGUGGGAACAUCUCUUCCAAAGGCCUGUGAAACGCAGUUUCUUUGCAGGCCUGAUCUGCCUGAAGUAGGACUUCUGCUCUGGGUGUGCUACAUUGCCCUAGAGCUGAAAGGAACAAUGUGCAGGCUUCUUUCCAAGGGGCGAGUUGGGCCCCACAGCAUCUUGCUUCCAGCUCUUUGGGAAGCUAAGAAACAACUCGCUUUGCACAGUGCUCUUACAACCUACCGGGAACUUCUCUUCCAAAGGCCUGUGAAACGCAGUUUCUUUGCAGGCCUGAUCUGGCUGAAGUAGGACUUCUGCUCUGGGUGUGCUACUUUGCCCUAGAGCUGAAAGGCACAACGUGCAGGCUUCUUUCCAAAGGGCGAGUUGGGCCCCACAGCAUCUUGCUUCCAGCUCUUUGGGAAGCUAAGAAACAACUCGCUCUGCACAGUGCUCUUACAGCCUACCGGGAACAUCUCUUCCAAAGGCCUGUGAAACGCAGUUUCUUUGCAGGCCUGAUCUGGCUGAAGUAGGACUUCUGCUCUGGGAGUGCUACACGGCCCUAGAGCUGAAAGGAACACCGUGCAGGCUUCUUUAAAAAGGGCGAGUUGGGCCCCACAGCAUCUUGCUUCCAGCUCUUUGGGAAGCUAAGAAACAACUCGCUCUGCACAGUGCUCUUACAGCCUACCGGGAACAUCUCUUCCAAAGGCCUGUGAAACGCAGUUUCUUUGCAGGCCUGAUGUGGCUGAAGUAGGACUUCUGCUCUGGGUGUGCUACUUUGCCCUAGAUCUGAAAGGCACAACGUGCAGGCUUCUUUCCAAAGGGCGAUUUGGGCCCAACAGCAUCUUGCUUCCAGCUCUUUGGGAAGCUAAGAAACAACUCGCUCUGCACAGUGCUCUUACAGCCUCCCGGGAACAUCUCUUCCAAAGGCCUGUGAAACGCAGUUUCUUUGCAGGCCUGAUCUGGCUGAAGUAGGACUUCUGCUCUGGGUGUGCUACAUUGCCCUAGAGCUGAAAGGCACACCGUGCAGGCUUCUUUCCAAAGGGCGAGUUGGGCCCCACAGCAUCUUGCUUCCAGCUCUUUGGGAAGCUAAGAAACAACUCGCUCUGCACAGUGCUCUUACAAACUACCGGGAACUUCUCUUCCAAAGGCCUGUGAAACGCAGUUUCUUUGCAGGCCUGAUCUGGCUGAAGUAGGACUUCUGCUCUGGGUGUGCUACUUUGCCCUAGAGCUGAAAGGCACAACGUGCAGGCUUCUUUCCAAAGGGCGAGUUGGGCCCCACAGCAUCUUGCUUCCAGCUCUUUGGGAAGCUAAGAAACAACUCGCUGUGCACAGUGCUCUUACAGCCUACCGGGAACAUCUCUCCCAAAGGCCUGUGAAACGCAGUUUCUUUGCAGGCCUGAUCUGGCUGAAGUAGGACUUCUGCUCUGGGUGUGCUCCAUUGCCCUAGAGCUGAGAGGCACAACGUGCGGGCUUCUUUCCACAGGGCAAUUGGGCCCCACAGCAUCUUGCUUCCAGCUCUUUGAGAAGCUAAGAAACAACUCGCUCUGCACAGUGCUCUUACAGCCUACCGGGAACAUCUCUGCCAAAGGCCUGUGAAACGCAGUUUCUUUGCAGGCCUGAUCUGGCUGAAGUAGGACUUCUGCUCUGGGUGUGCUACUUUGCCCUAGAGCUGAAAGGCACAACGUGCAGGCUUCUUUCCAAAGGGCGAGUUGGGCCACACACGAUCUUGCUUCCAG
Molecule: long non-coding RNA, 3589 nt
Filed under: Equus caballus (horse)
Lineage: Eukaryota; Metazoa; Chordata; Mammalia; Perissodactyla; Equidae
Description: lncRNA (ENSECAG00000050036.1)
Source: RNAcentral